AUGAACGCUGGCGGCGUGCCUAAUACAUGCAAGUCGAGCGAACGGACGAGAAGCUUGCUUUUCUGAUGUUAGCGGCGGACGGGUGAGUAACACGUGGAUAACCUACCUAUAAGACUGGGAUAACUUCGGGAAACCGGAGCUAAUACCGGAUAAUAUUUUGAACCGCAUGGUUCAAAAGUGAAAGACGGUCUUGCUGUCACUUAUAGAUGGAUCCGCGCUGCAUUAGCUAGUUGGUAAGGUAACGGCUUACCAAGGCAACGAUGCAUAGCCGACCUGAGAGGGUGAUCGGCCACACUGGAACUGAGACACGGUCCAGACUCCUACGGGAGGCAGCAGCAGGGAAUCUUCCGCAAUGGGCGAAAGCCUGACGGAGCAACGCCGCGUGAGUGAUGAAGGUCUUCGGAUCGUAAAACUCUGUUAUUAGGGAAGAACAUAUGUGUAAGUAACUGUGCACAUCUUGACGGUACCUAAUCAGAAAGCCACGGCUAACUACGUG
RNAcentral lists this ribosomal RNA (496 nucleotides) under uncultured bacterium. RNAcentral's name for it is "partial 16S ribosomal RNA". It matches the Rfam family "Bacterial small subunit ribosomal RNA", at positions 29 to 507 of the family's 1533-position model. The record is from RNAcentral.